Molecule: ribosomal RNA, 1463 nt
Filed under: metagenome
Description: bacterial SSU rRNA
Rfam family: Bacterial small subunit ribosomal RNA
Source: RNAcentral
AGAGUUUGAUCAUGGCUCAGGACGAACGCUGGCGGCACGCCUAACACAUGCAAGUCGAACGGAGAAAAUGAUUUCGGUUAUUUUCUUAGUGGCGGACGGGUGAGUAACACGUGAGGAACCUGCCUCUGAGAGUGGGAUAGCUUCUGGAAACGGAUGGUAAUACCGCAUAACAUAGCGAAACCGCAUGAUUUUGCUAUCAAAGUAUUUCGCUCAGAGAUGGCCUCGCGUCUGAUUAGAUAGUUGGUAAGGUAACGGCUCACCAAGUCGACGAUCAGUAGCCGGACUGAGAGGUUGAACGGCCACAUUGGGACUGAGACACGGCCCAGACUCCUACGGGAGGCAGCAGUGGGGGAUAUUGCACAAUGGGGGAAACCCUGAUGCAGCGAUGCCGCGUGGAGGAAGAAGGUUUUCGGAUUGUAAACCCCUGUCGUAAGGGAAGAGAAAGGACUGUACCUUACAAGAAAGCUCCGGCUAACUACGUGCCAGCAGCCGCGGUAAUACGUAGGGAGCGAGCGUUGUCCGGAAUGACUGGGUGUAAAGGGAGCGUAGGCGGGAUGGCAAGUCAGAUGUGAAACCUGAGGGCUCAACCUUCAGACUGCAUUUGAAACUGCUGUUCUUGAGUGAAGUAGAGGUAAGCGGAAUUCCUGGUGUAGCGGUGAAAUGCGUAGAGAUCAGGAGGAACAUCGGUGGCGAAGGCGGCUUACUGGGCUCUUACUGACGCUGAGGCUCGAAAGCGUGGGGAGCAAACAGGAUUAGAUACCCUGGUAGUCCACGCUGUAAACGAUGAUUACUAGGUGUGGGGGGAUUGACCCCUUCCGUGCCGCAGUUAACACAAUAAGUAAUCCACCUGGGGAGUACGACCGCAAGGUUGAAACUCAAGGGAAUUGACGGGGGCCCGCACAAGCGGAGGAACAUGUGGUUUAAUUCGAUGAUACGCGAGGAACCUUACCCGGGCUUGAAUUGCGGAGGAAGGAUUUGGAGACAAUGACGCCCUUCGGGGCCUCUGUGAAGGCGCUGCAUGGUUGUCGUCAGCUCGUGCCGUGAGGUGUCGGCUUAAGUGCCAUAACGAGCGCAACCCCUCUCCUUAGUUGCCAUCAGGUUAAGCUGGGCACUCUGGGGACACUGCCACCGUAAGGUGUGAGGAAGGUGGGGAUGACGUCAAAUCAGCACGGCCCUUACGUCCGGGGCUACACACGUGUUACAAUGGCAGGUACAGAGAGACGGUCCCUUGCAAAACGGAUCAAAUCCUUAAAGCCUGUCACAGUUCGGACUGGGGUCUGCAACCCGACCCCACGAAGCUGGAUUCGCUAGUAAUCGCGCAUCAGCCAUGGCGCGGUGAAUACGUUCCCGGGCCUUGUACACACCGCCCGUCAAGCCAUGAAAGCCGGGGGCGCCUAAAGUCCGUGACCGUAAGGAGCGGCCUAGGGCGAAACUGGUAAUUGGGGCUAAGUCGUAACAAGGUA